Small nuclear RNA from Otolemur garnettii (small-eared galago), 94 nucleotides. The record is from Ensembl. Lineage: Eukaryota; Metazoa; Chordata; Mammalia; Primates; Galagidae.
GUGCUUGCCUCAGCAGCAAAUAUACUAAGGUUGGCAUGAUACAGAGAAGAUUAGUGAGGAUGACAUGCAAAUCCGUGUAAAGUUCCAUAUUAAU